CAGUAGAAAAUAAGAUUGUAGAACGUAAAACCUUUAAUUCCUCAUAAGUUUAAUUGGUCCCGAUCGAGUUAGACAAAUCCUGAUAUAUUGAUUAUCUGCUGAUACCAAGUCUGAUCCACAGUAGUGCAGUAAAUAAACAAAGUAGUGAGCAGUAAAGAAACGCAGGAGGGGGCACUAAAUAAACGCAGUGAGAGCAUUAAGAAAUGCAAUAGAGAGCAGUAAAUAAACGCAGUAGAGGGCAGGAAAGAAACGCAGUAGAGAGUAGUUAAUAAGCGCAGUAGAGCGCAGUAAAUAAAGGCAGUAGAGGGCAGUAAAGAAACACAGUAGAGUGCAGUAAAUAAACGCAGUAGACUGCAGUAAAUAAACGCAGUAGAGUGCAGUAAAUAAACGCAGUAGAGUGCAGUAAAUAAACGCAGUAGAGCGCAGUAAAUAAAAGCAGUAGAGUGUAGUAAAUAAACGCAGUACAGAGCAGUAAAGAAAUGCAGUAUAGAGCAGUAAAGAAACGCAGUAGUGUGCAGUAAAUAAAUGCAGUAGAGAGCAGUAAAUAAAUGCAAUAGAGCGCAGUAAAUAAACGCAGAAGAGGGCAGUAAAGAAACGCAGUAAAUAAAUGCAGAAGAGCGCAGUUAAGAAACACAGCAAAGAAACGCAGUAAAUAAACGCAGUAGAGAGCAAUAAAUAAAUGCAGUAUAGAGCAGUAAAUAAACGCAGUAGAGAGCAGUAAAUAAAUGCAAUAGAGAGCAGUAAAUAAACGCAGUGGAGAGCAGUAAAUAAAUGCAGUAGAGUGUAGUAAAUAAACGCAGUAGAGAGAAAUAAAGAAACGCCGUAAAUAAACGCAGUAGAGGGCAGUAAAUAAACACAGUAGAGAGCAGGAAAUAAACGCAGUAGAGCGCAGUUAAUAAAAGCAGUAAAUAAACGCAGUAGGGUGUAGUAAAUAAACUCAGUAUUGUGCAGUAAAUAAACGCAGUAGAGAGCAGUAAAUAAAUGUAGUAGAGAGCUGUAAAGAAACGCAGUAGAGAGCAGUAAAGAAACGCAGUAGAGUGUAGUAAAUAAACUCAGUAGAGUGUAAUAAAUGAACUCAGUAGAGAGCAGUAAAUAAAUGCAGUAGAGGGCAGUAAAGAAACGCAGUAGAGUGUAGUAAAUAAAUGCAGUAGAGUGUAGUAAAUAAACUCAGUAGAGAGCAGUAAAUGAACGCAGUAAAGAGCAGUAAAUAAACGCAGUAUAGAGCAGUAAAUAAACGCAGUAUAGAGCAGUAAAUAAACGCAGUAGAGAGCAGUAAAUAAACGCAGUGGAGAGCAGUAAAUAAAAGCAGUAGAAUGUAGUAAAUAAACGCAGUAGAGAGCAGUAAAUAUACGCCGUAGAGAGCAGUAAAUAAAAGCAGUAUAGAGCAGUAAAGAAACGCAGUAGAGAGCGGUAAAGAAAUGCAGUAGAGAGCGGUAAAGAAACGCUAUAGAGCAGUAAAUAAACGCUGUAGAGAGCAGUAAAUAAACGCAGUAUAGAGCAGUAAAGAAACCUAGUACAGAGCAGUAAAUAAAUGCAAUAGAGCAGUAAAUAAAAGCAGUAGAGAGCAGUAAAUAAACGCAGUAUAGAGCAGUAAAUAAAAGCAGUAGAGAGCAGUAAAUAAACGCAGUAGAGAGCAGUAAAUAAAAGCAGUAGAGAGCAGUAAAUAAACGCAGUAUAGAGCAGUAAAUAAACGCAGUGGAGAGCAGUAAAUAAAAGCAGUAGAAUGUAGUAAAUAAACUCAGUAGAGAGCAGUAAAUAUACGCCGUAGAGAGCAGUAAAUAAAAGCAGUAUAGAGCAGUAAAUAAACGCAGUAGAGAGCAGUAAAUAAACGCAGUGGAGAGCAGUAAAUAAAAGCAGUAGAAUGUAGUAAAUAAACGCAGUAGAGAGCAGUAAAUAUACGCAGUAGAGAGCAGUAAAGAAACGCAGUAGAGAGCAGUAAAUAAACGCAGUAGAGAACAGUUAAUAAACACCGUAGAGAGCAGUAAAUAAACGCAGUAUACAGCAGUAAAUAAACGCAGUAGAGAACGGUAAAUAAACGCAGUAGAGUGUAGUAAAUAAACUCAGUAUUGUGCAGUAAAUAAACGCAGUAGAGAGCAGUAAAUAAACGCAGUGAAGAGCAGUAAAUAAAUGUAGUAGAGAGCAGUAAAUAAACGCAGUAGAGGGCAGUAAAUAAAAGCAGUAGAAUGUAGUAAAUAAACGCAGUAGAGAGCAGUAAAUAAACGCAGUAGAGUACAGUAAAUAAACGCAGUAGAGUGUAGUAAAUAAUCGCAGUAGAGUGUAAUAAACUCAGUAGAGAGCAGUAAAUAAACGCAGUAGAGGGCAGUAAAGAAACGCAGUAGAGUGUAGUAAAUAAAUGCAGUAGAGUGUAGUAAAUAAACUCAGUAGAGAGCAGUAAAUAAACGCCAUAGAGAGCAGUAAAUAAAGGCAGUAGAGGGCAGUAAAGAAACGCCGUAGAGAGCAGUAAAUAAACGCAGUAUACAGCAGUAAAUAAAUGCAGUAGAGAACAGUAAAUAAACGCUGUAGACAGCGGUAAAUAAACGCAGUAGAGAGCGGUAAAGAAACGCAGUAGAGAGCGGUAAAGAAAUGCAGUAGAGAGCAGUAAAGAAACGCUAUAGAGCAGUAAAUAAACGCUGUAGAGAGCAGUAAAUAAACGCAGUAUAGAGCAGUAAAGAAACCUAGUACAGAGCAGUAAAUAAAUGCAAUAGAGCAGUAAAUAAAAGCAGUAGAGAGCAGUAAAUAAACGCAGUAUAGAGCAGUAAAUAAAAGCAGUAGAGAGCAGUAAAUAAACGCUGUAGAGAGCAGUAAAUAAAAGCAGUAGAGAGCAGUAAAUAAACGCAGUAUAGAGCAGUAAAUAAAAGCAGUACAGAGCAGUAAAUAAACGCUGUAGAGAGCAGUAACUAAACGCAGUAUAGAGCAGUAAAGAAACACAGUAGAGAGCUGUAAAGAAACGCACUAGAGAGCGGUAAAGAAACGCAAUAGAGCAGUAAAUAAACGCUGUAGAGAGCAGUAAAUAAACGCAGUAUAUAGCAGUUAAGAAAUGCAAUAGAGCAGUAAAUAAAAGCAGUAGAGAGCCGUAAAUAAAUGCAGUAGAGUGUAGUAAAUAAACGCAGUAGAGUGUAGUACAUAAACACAGUAGAGAGAAAUAAAGAAACGCUGUAGAGAGCAGUAAAUAAAGCAGUAUAGAGUGUAGUAAAUGAACGCAGUAGAGAGCAGUAAAUAAACGCCGUAGAGAGCAGUAAAUAAACGCAGCAGAGCGCAGUUAAUGAACGCAGUAAAUAAACGCAGUAGAGUGCAGUUAAUAAAUGCAGUAAAUAAACGCAGUAAAUAAACACAGUAGAGAGCAGUAAAUAAACGCAGUAUAUAAACACAGUAGAGAGCAGUAAAUAAACACAGUAGAGAGCAUUGAAUGAACGCAGUAUAGAGCAGUAAAUAAACGCAGUAGGGUGUAGUAAAUAAAUUCAGUAGAGUGCAAUAAAUAUACGCAGUAGAGUGCAGUAAAUAAACGCAGUAGAGCACAGUUAAUAAACCCAGUACAUAAACGCA
This is a long non-coding RNA of Dicentrarchus labrax (European seabass), 3543 nucleotides long. RefSeq lists it as uncharacterized. The record is from RefSeq and is a predicted model, not a curated record. The transcript has 2 exons. NCBI's taxonomy places the organism in Eukaryota, Metazoa, Chordata, Actinopteri, Moronidae.